This 468-nucleotide ribosomal RNA is filed under the name uncultured bacterium. RNAcentral's name for it is "partial 16S ribosomal RNA". It matches the Rfam family "Bacterial small subunit ribosomal RNA", at positions 28 to 507 of the family's 1533-position model. The record is from RNAcentral.
GACGAACGCUGGCGGCGUGCUUAACACAUGCAAGUCGAACGGAAAGGCCCUGCUUUUGUGGGGUGCUCGAGUGGCGAACGGGUGAGUAACACGUGAGUAACCUGCCCUUGACUUUGGGAUAACUUCAGGAAACUGGGGCUAAUACCGGAUAGGAGCUCCUGCUGCAUGGUGGGGGUUGGAAAGUUUCGGCGGUUGGGGAUGGACUCGCGGCUUAUCAGCUUGUUGGUGGGGUAGUGGCUUACCAAGGCUUUGACGGGUAGCCGGCCUGAGAGGGUGACCGGCCACAUUGGGACUGAGAUACGGCCCAGACUCCUACGGGAGGCAGCAGUGGGGAAUAGUGCACAAUGGGCGGAAGCCUGAUGCAGCAACGCCGCGUGCGGGAUGACGGCCUUCGGGUUGGAAACCGAUUUCGCCUGUGACGAAGCGUGAGUGACGGUAAUGGGUAAAGAAGCACCGGCUAACUACGUG